RNAcentral lists this ribosomal RNA (404 nucleotides) under uncultured bacterium. RNAcentral's name for it is "bacterial SSU rRNA". It matches the Rfam family "Bacterial small subunit ribosomal RNA", at positions 355 to 775 of the family's 1533-position model. The record is from RNAcentral.
UGAGGAAUAUUGCACAAUGGGCGAAAGCCUGAUGCAGCAACGCCGCGUGGGCGAUGAAGGCCUUCGGGUCGUAAAGCCCUUUUCUGAGGGAAGAGGAAGGACGGUACCUCAGGAAUAAGCCUCGGCUAACUACGUGCCAGCAGCCGCGGUAAAACGUAGGAGGCAAGCGUUAUUCGGAUUUACUGGGCGUAAAGCGCGUGCAGGCGGCUUUGCAAGUCGGACGUGAAAUCUCCCGGCUUAACUGGGAUGCGUCGUUCGAAACUGCAAGGCUUGAGGUUGGGAGAGGAGAGUGGAAUUCCCGGUGUAGUGGUGGAAUGCGUAGAUAUCGGGAGGAACACCAGUGGCGAAAGCGGCUCUCUGGCCCACACCUGACGCUGAGACGCGAAAGCGUGGGGAGCGAACGG